Daphnia pulex (common water flea) is the source of this 930-nucleotide long non-coding RNA. RefSeq lists it as uncharacterized. The transcript has 4 exons. The record is from RefSeq and is a predicted model, not a curated record. Lineage: Eukaryota; Metazoa; Arthropoda; Branchiopoda; Diplostraca; Daphniidae.
ACUGUCGCAUACAAAGAAAUUUUUUAAAAUUUAAAAUAUUGGGGUUCUAUUGUCGGUGGAGUUCUACGGUCGCCAUAACGGCGGAUUGUCCUCCCAUCCGCCAGGUGGCGCGAGUGUCUUCGUGAGGAAGAAAUAUUUGCCAUUUGUUUCCGAGACGCUGACUUGAACGUGUCUUCCAAGUUGAUUGGUGUCGAUCUACAGUUUUAGCCAUUAAAUGUAAUUGGCAAUCUGGCAUAUAAUUUCACUUGGCCAAAUGUGAACUGAUAGUUGAUCGCUACAGAUUUAGUUAAUGACUAGAGAGUAGACCCCUUUGCUUCUCUGUUGCAAUUAUGAGUUAAGACCAUUAUUGAAAUGUGGAUUACAUUUGUUAUUUUCAAGUUGGAAAACUUGACAACUACAAAUUCCUUUGUAAGAUUUAUCAAGCCAGGUGAAGUCUGCGCUUCUUUGUUGCAGUCUAAUGUGUGCAUGGAUUUGUUGCAGUCAUCCAGUGAAAGGUGUGAUUAAAUUGAGCUGUUGCAUGCAGUCUUCGGUGCUGAUGUUGUCCUGGAGUGUGGGAGAGUCCCAUGCUUCAAGUCUUCUGGGAUCAGUCAUAUCUGAGUUGACGCUGGAUCAUGCUGCAUUGUGGUUGCUGAAAUGUUGGACAUCUAGUAGAACUGCAAGAAGACUCCAUGAAAUGUUUUAUGUUUACGUAGCAGUGAUGUUGCUGUCCAAUAUGGCAUGUUGUUGCAGCCUAUACUGGUGAAAGAUUUUUUGCAUCGAGUUAUGCUGUUGCUGUUCCUUGGUGCCGGACUGCUGGUGUUGUGCACAAAAGUUACAUCCAGUUUAAAUUGUUAUUUGUGUCUAUGCAGUUAACCGUUUAUAUGUGGAAAAGGAACAGAAAAGUUCCUUGGUGUUGAAUCGCUGGUGUUGUGCUACAUAAGUUACAUCCAG